This is a non-coding RNA of Gossypium hirsutum (cotton), 107 nucleotides long. NCBI's taxonomy places the organism in Eukaryota, Viridiplantae, Streptophyta, Magnoliopsida, Malvales, Malvaceae. The record is from Rfam.
AUACCAUGGUGUGGGCACUUCCUAAGCAGCGACUUGAAGAGUUCCCAAGCUUCAUAUAAAUUCUUGCCUUUAUAUUGCUUAAAAUUAGCAAUAUCAUGCCUCAAUUG